GAUAAUAAGAAGAUCAAGAAGAAUGCUGUUAUAACAGAGCUCUAUCCAGAGUCUGAAUAUAACCCUAGUCGUGAUGUUGUGGAUGGUGAUGGACAUGUUAGCGUUGAGGACCUUCUUAGUACUCUUCGUGAAAAACCUGAUUAUCCAAAACUUAGGAAAAGAUUUCAACAAAUUGAUAAGAAUGCUAAAUCUAUUUCUGCGCCACUUCCAAAGCCAGAUCAAGAAAGGGAAGAGAGGAAGGCAGCAUAUGAAAUAUCAAAGAAAGAUGUUACGAAGUGGCAGCACAUUAUUCAGAAAAAUAGAGAGGCACCAAGUAUUUCCUUUGGUGAAAAUGUAGAUAUAGGGUUUUCAACUGUAGGAGCAAUAGCUUCUGAAUUUGAACCUAGAACUGAUUUUGAGAAGAAAAUAGCUGCACUGGUUCAUGAUGAAAAAGUUAUGGAAGCUCAUAAAAAGGAUGGCUCUAGGCUUCUUGAAAUGAACAAGGUAUGGAUUUCAUUUGUAGUAGUGGAUCAUCGAAUCUGGAAUCUGAAUGCCUUUUCGAGGUUCCCUUGUUUUCUCUGUUGUAUGAUCUAAAGUCUUUUUUUUGUUAACUUGAAUCAGUUGUGGUUUGGCAUCCAUGUAUGAUUUUUAAAUUUCAAAAUUCACAGCAUUCUUGGAAGCAUUUUAAAUUAGAGAAUUCAUGGUAUUGCUGGAAGCUUUUUAAAUUUCAAAAUUCAAACUUGAAUUUGUUUGUUAGAUUGAAGGUCGCGUAUAGUGAUGAAACAUAUUUCGUAUUAAUAAGAUUGUUCUCCCCAUCAAGAUUAAAAGUAAUAAUUAGAACUGACUCUUGAUGUUGAGGGGGAAAUAAAAUGCAACUUAUACUAACAUGAUCAUUUUUUUGGGCAUCUGUAUCGCCUUCACAAAUAAUUGGAUAGGCAAGUCCUUCCCUUUUAAUCUUUCUUCUAACUAAAUAUUUCUUUUCUUUCCCCCCUUAUUGAACUCUGCUGAAAAAUAUAAUAAUUUGGAUGAAUAGGUUAUCAAUUCUUUUAGGAAAAUCCUAUAUUCAAAUACUUCUGCCCAAAAUUAGUAAUGGGCUUCUGCCAAACACAUUCCAUAAGCUGCCUAGUAGUAGACAAGCCAUAAAUCUCUGGACAAGCAGAUGGAAGAUAAAGUUUAAAUGCUUUUAAGAUGAUCUGGUAAUUCUGUUGAAUUGAUGCCUUAACUUCAUCCAAGUUUUAAUUUAGAUUGCCUUACAAUGUUCCCUGUGUGACUUUAGGAGUCUGAGAUUAAAUUAAACACCAACUACAUUUUAAAGUUAUAUUGUCUAAGCAUUGCUUUCAAUCCAUGUUGUUAGUGAUGCAUAUGAAUUGAAAUUUUUGGUCUAUGGCUGCUGUAUUUCAAUUGUUUUAUGUAGUUUAUGAUGUCUGACAGGUUUCUAUAGAAGAUGAGAAGGAUAGGCAAAAUCGGAUUGCUAAAAUGAGGAGCCUUCUUUUUCGCCAUGAAAUGAAGGCAAAGCAUAUUAAAAAGAUAAAGUCUAAGACAUUUCAUCGUUUGUUGAAGAAAGAUAGAUUGAAGGCAGAAUCUUCCCGAAUGCAAAUGGACCCCGAAGCUGCUAAGGAAUACGCUAUGAAACAGGAGCGCGAAAGGGCAGAGGUAUAUCAUCAUCCCUCAAGAAUUAAGAGAUUGUGCCAUCUGACGAUGAGAAUGAGGAUGAUGAUGAUGAUUACUUUGGGACAAAGAGGAAUGCCAAUGCUCAGAGUGAUGAUGAUUCUGGAGAGGAAGAUGAUGGAAGACACGCAAGGAUGUUAGAAGGAGUUACUGGUUUGCCAAUUGAGGCUUUUGAAGGUAAGAAGACAACUGUUUAACUUUUGCAUUAGUAUGUUAUGCUUUAUUCAUGUAAUCAUGUUAGAACUUUGAGGCAUCUGGUCAGUUCUCUGUUCGAUUUACUGGAAGAUGGAUAUAAAUAUUAGAGAUGCAAAUGAAUGAGUUUUUAAUAUUUCAUUAUUGUUUUAAACUUGCAAGGAUGUUAUUUCAUAACUUCUUGAGACGAGUCUGGCCAGUUCUUAUAUUGGAAUUAUAAUAGCCCAAAAGCUUUUCUUAAUCUACACAACAUCAACAACUAACCUUUUCCCAGAAAAUUUUAUAUAUGCUUCAAGAGGCUGAUAUCUUAUGCCUUUAGGUUUGUUUUUGGGAACAUAUUAUAUAAGUUAUAACUGCUCUGAUUUUGUACAUGUGAAGAACGCUGAAGCAGUUUUUGCUAAUUAAUGGUUACCACUUACUAGAUACAAUCCUGCUGCUGCUCCAUAGUCUGUCUAUUUUGUUUUUAGAACCAUGAAUAUGAAUAUGAUACACUUUUAAAACUUCAUCAUAAUGCAGAUAAUAAGAAGAUCAAGAAGAAUGCUGUUAUAACAGAGCUCUAUCCAGAGUCUGAAUAUAACCCUAGUCGUGAUGUUGUGGAUGGUGAUGGACAUGUUAGCGUUGAGGACCUUCUUAGUACUCUUCGUGAAAAACCUGAUUAUCCAAAACUUAGGAAAAGAUUUCAACAAAUUGAUAAGAAUGCUAAAUCUAUUUCUGCGCCACUUCCAAAGCCAGAUCAAGAAAGGGAAGAGAGGAAGGCAGCAUAUGAAAUAUCAAAGAAAGAUGUUACGAAGUGGCAGCACAUUAUUCAGAAAAAUAGAGAGGCACCAAGUAUUUCCUUUGGUGAAAAUGUAGAUAUAGGGUUUUCAACUGUAGGAGCAAUAGCUUCUGAAUUUGAACCUAGAACUGAUUUUGAGAAGAAAAUAGCUGCACUGGUUCAUGAUGAAAAAGUUAUGGAAGCUCAUAAAAAGGAUGGCUCUAGGCUUCUUGAAAUGAACAAGGUAUGGAUUUCAUUUGUAGUAGUGGAUCAUCGAAUCUGGAAUCUGA
This 2883-nucleotide long non-coding RNA is filed under the name Lotus japonicus. RNAcentral describes it as "long non-coding RNA (LJAP_LNC001284)". Lineage: Eukaryota; Viridiplantae; Streptophyta; Magnoliopsida; Fabales; Fabaceae. The record is from RNAcentral.